Molecule: ribosomal RNA, 507 nt
Filed under: uncultured bacterium
Lineage: Bacteria
Description: partial 16S ribosomal RNA
Rfam family: Bacterial small subunit ribosomal RNA
Source: RNAcentral
AAAAAAUCUGUGGGGGGCGCGGGCAUCUGGCGGCGAGCGGGAACGGGUGAGUAAUGCAUAGAACAUGCUCCUUGUGGUGGGGGAUAGCCCGGCGAAAGCCGGAUUAAUACCGCAUAAGCCCGAGAGGGGAAAGCCGGGGCACCGCAAGGCCUUGGCGCUUAUUGGUUUCCCGAUCCCGAUUUAGCUUAGUUGGGGGGGUAAGAGCCCCCCAAGGCGAUGAUCGGGUAGCUUGGCCUUGAGAGGACUGACCACCCACCCUUGGUUAUUGAAACACGGCCCAAACCCCUUACGGGAGGCAGUUGUGGGGAAUUUUGGACAGGGGGGAAACCCUUGAUCCACCCUUUUCCGGGGGAGAGAAGAAGGCCUUUCGGGUUGAAAAGCUUUUUUGCCCGGAACAAAACGAGUUCGGGCUUAAAACCUUGUGACCUCUGAGGGCCCCGAAAAAAUAACACCGGGCUAACUCCGUGCCCAGUAGCCCGCGGAUAUACCGUAGGGGGGGAAGCGGUU